CGCGUAGGCGGUUACCCAAGUCAGAGGUGAAAUCCCGGAGCUCAACUCCGGAACUGCCUUUGAAACUAUGUAACUAGAAUCUUGGAGAGGCGAGUGGAAUUCCGAGUGUAGAGGUGAAAUUCGUAGAUAUUCGGAAGAACACCAGUGGCGAAGGCGACUCGCUGGACAAGUAUUGACGCUGAGGUGCGAAAGCGUGGGGAGCAAACA
Molecule: ribosomal RNA, 207 nt
Filed under: uncultured Sphingomonadales bacterium
Lineage: Bacteria; Pseudomonadati; Pseudomonadota; Alphaproteobacteria; Sphingomonadales
Description: partial 16S ribosomal RNA
Rfam family: Bacterial small subunit ribosomal RNA
Source: RNAcentral